This is a long non-coding RNA of Scomber scombrus (Atlantic mackerel), 979 nucleotides long. RefSeq lists it as uncharacterized. Lineage: Eukaryota; Metazoa; Chordata; Actinopteri; Scombriformes; Scombridae. The transcript is spliced from 3 exons. The record is from RefSeq and is a predicted model, not a curated record.
UAAGAUUCUAUUUCUCACCUUAAAUGUUUUUUAGAAAUAUAUUGUAGUGGGUGAAACAGAUGUGAGGACAUCGAGGAACUCACGUGCUACCAAAACAAAGAACAGAGAACCUUGGAUAACAACACACUGAAAGGUUGACCAAUCUGAGCUGAGCAGCCUGCCUGAGGACACGUGCAGGGAGUGAGCGGUGAGCUGGGUGCUGGAGAAGCUGAGUGGUUUUGCAGAGGAGACGCUCAGGGUUUCACCUCAAGCUCUUCAUGAAGGUGUUGGAGGGUCUGGAGCUGUGGGAGCUCUGUCUGCCUGAGCUGUGUGUGGCCAUCCAGAUUACCACGGAUCAUCCAGAUGCUCAGGGAGAUGUAUGAUGCCUGGCUGUGUUCGAGGAGAACUCAGACACCGAAGCACCACCAUGCCCCUCAUACACCAGGUGAACCAACCUCAGGAAGGCUUGAAGGAAAGCUAUAGUCUGGAACAAAUAGAUAAAGAGAACUCACUGGGGUCACACUGGGGCUAUGAAUUUAAUGUGAGCUCGAGGCUGAGAUUGCCUAAAAUAGCCUUAAAAGUAAUGGGGGGAAAAUGAUAAGUAGGGGAAGUUACUUUGCAUUGCAGCCUGCUCAGAAUUCACAUGAAUGGGAAAGUAGAUGUUAGCACCACAUAGCAAGCAGAAGAGAAAAUGUAAACUUCAAACAAAGCCAUUCAUCAACAAUAAGUAAUGAUUUGAAAAAAAAUGUAACAAGUGAAGGUUGGAAGACAUAAUAGUUAUUGCAUCAUAAUUAAUUGUCCAAAAAAGUAAAGAAUUUGAUUAAAGAUCCAAGACUUUUUAUCCUAAUGAGCACAUGUUCAUACAGCGAUAACAGCACAGAGAUAAAGACACACAUAAUAUGCUUGAAGCAGGAAGUACCUCUCACUACUUCCUUUUAUCAAGGAAUCUACAAUCAGGGGUUACAAAGAGCUGCCAAUUGUCUUCCUGCCUGUCAGCCUU